AUGGAUGCACCUCACUUCAAUGAGUCUUGUGGUUCACUAUAUUUAGCAAAAAACAUACGGUGGAUAAGAAAACAAAAACAAGCAAAAAACCAUGUGGUUCACUUGCCUCGUCCUCGAAGUGCGGAAGAAUUUUUAAAAUUAAAAAGAAAACAAAAAAUGUGUGUGGUUCAUUUUGAAGUGCGUUUGGUCCUUGGAUGUGAUCUAUUUUUUAGAGUGAUGUUGUUCACUUGCCCCCAACAUGAAACUGCAAAAAAAUUAGUGAAACAACAAGAUGGUAAUGUGGUACACUUUGAUAUAUAUUGCGGCUCAUUUGCCCUUGUCUUUGCGGUGCACUCUCGUCCAUAA
Molecule: ribosomal RNA, 345 nt
Filed under: Triticum aestivum (bread wheat)
Lineage: Eukaryota; Viridiplantae; Streptophyta; Magnoliopsida; Poales; Poaceae
Description: partial small subunit ribosomal RNA
Source: RNAcentral